Lotus japonicus is the source of this 2857-nucleotide long non-coding RNA. RefSeq lists it as uncharacterized. The transcript has 5 exons. NCBI's taxonomy places the organism in Eukaryota, Viridiplantae, Streptophyta, Magnoliopsida, Fabales, Fabaceae. The record is from RefSeq and is a predicted model, not a curated record.
CGUUUCUUACUUUGGCACUGUUUCUCCCCAUCAAUGACAAACCCUAGCUGGCAAUCACGUGUUUCCUCUGCCAUUCUACCCACUCCACCGUACCAUUCAUCUUCUUCUCUUUUCUUGAUUUCUCUUCCACAGCUCAUAGUUUCCCAUCUACUGUCGUCAUCUCGCGUCUCUACUUCCUUCGAUUGCAUCAUCGCUGACGCUUGCCGUUCCGUGCUCAAGGAGAUUUCGCUCGCCGGAAAUGGAGGAACCAGCCAUAUUUCGACAGCUCCCUUCAUCUACUGUUGUUUGCUCAUCCUUCUCUCUUUUUCUAGAUCUGAAAGCAUUUCCAAGGAGCAAAUCGCGGGUGAGCAAUCCUUGGUGGCUAUGUUUUGCUGUAUAAAUAGGGGAUGCUUGUGUGUGUGUGUUGCAAUAAGUAAUGUUUCUAGGAAGAUUUUUAAUGAACGCAACAACUUCUUUGAUUCUACAGGGCCAGAGAUGGACUUUCAAGGAGAAACCAACCCUCAAUCCUUCAUAUACAGUUGCUAUGCACAAGGUUGGUGUUUGUUUCGUUCAAAAAUUGAUGGAAGAUAUGGACUUUUAUGCCAUGAGGAGGAAGAGACUACAAGCUCUAUGCAAGAAACAUGACAUCUCUGCUAAUUUGAAGAGCAAAUAAAUGGCAGACAAGCUUUCCUUGAUUUUUAAGCACCUUAUUAGUAUACCCUUUUCUUCAAGUCAAGUUUUUCCCCCUUUUCUUUUGUCUGUUUUUAUAGUUUAUGAUGAUCUAUGUUAUGAUGCUUUGAUAGUUUAUUGAUUUGGUUGUUGAGUUUUUUUUGUGGCCCAUUUGUUUUCUUUAUAGAUUUCCUUCUUCCUUGCUUUUUCUAAUUAUGUUUUUAUUGGAUUGGAUUCGAAGAUAUUAGCUUGAAAUUUACCCCAAACUUAAUAGCCUAUAACCAUUAUUCAAUUAUUUCACAGCAUGAGUGUGUGCUAUAAUUUAAAUAUUAAAUUAAUUAACUUAGCUAAGAACCAAAGCCCUGUGAUGGUGUGUGGGGUACUAUACUUGAAGCCUAUAGUUGGAGCGGAACACUAAAAUCUUCAAGGACAGAUCCUUGUGAUGGUAUCUUUCAUGGUGUGAUGGUUUUCUUAUAUUUGUAAGUGAAUAAUUUGGUGUGUUUGUACCCAACUAUGUUAGGGUCAAAGGAGGAAAAAUCAUAAGCUUGAAAGUGUAUUGGAUAACAAAAUGUUAUGAAGGUUAAAUCUUUAAGAGACAUUGCCACGAAGAAAUAGAGUAGGAGUUGAAUCUUUGUGCAAUAUGUAUAUAAGGUUGAAACCCUUUUGAAUGAUAUAAGUAUGAUAAUUUUCAAUUUCAUGAUGUGUCUUAUAAACUAAAUUGAGAAAUUAGCUAAAGGAGACUUAGGAGGUUUAGACAUGUUCAUGUGAGAGCACGCUGUCAUGCUUACAUAUUUAUCUCAAUUUUUUUCAUUCAAGCUGGUAAACCCAUUGAUCCUCAUUUUUGCCAUCCAUUCGAGUGACUGGAUCACAUGUGUCUCAUAAACUUUUGCCUAAUCACAAUUCUCACCCUCGAUGUUCAGUGGAUUACCUUUAGUCUUUUCUUUGCCUUUGUGACAUGAUAUGAAUUAUGUGAUUAAGAUCACCAAAAAUUUAAGAGACACUGGCAUGUUAGAUUUUUGUGUGUCAAACUUCACUUUGUCUAUAUGGUUCAGAAGGAUGAAGUCACUAUAGAUUAUUUGCAAUGAGUGAAGAUAAAUGAAUAAGUAGGAGCCCCUUAAAAACCAGUUAAAAGUGAUGGUAUAUAUAUAGAAGGGAGUCAUUUAUAAAAGCUCUUCCCUGUACAUAAAACACUAGGUGUAUAAAUUUGGUUCAAGCAAAAAAAUUACAUAUGUUUUAGGCAAGUUUAAUGUUGAUGGCAGUAAUUCUCUAGCUACAUGAUGAUUAAUGAAAGAAUGUUAUUAUCUUGAUGUGCUUAUGUAUUUAAUUUAGACGUUCAUGUUACUGCUAGCUGUAUAUUUCAUGAUUUUGAGGAUUUUCUUCUUCUUUGUUUUAUUAAUUUUUAUGUCCUAUGCUUUGACCUACUGAUUUUUUUCCUCUCUAUGUUGCUACAAUAUCUCUCUUUCUUUGUCAAUAGGGUGUUGGAAUUGAGACUAAGAUGAAAACUUACUUGGUAGCAGUCAUGGAUUGAACUCUUUCAAGGAGGGGCAGAGUUUGUCUUGAUGCCAUAGGUGGCCUAUCCUUAACAGAUAAUAGAACUGAUGCAAGUGGAAGGCCUGACCAAUGUUGAAGGCAAAAACCAUUUGCAAGAGAUGGUUAAAGGAAGCUGACAUGUCUCUUAAUUGUAUUGAUAAUUCAAUGGUGUGAGCCUCUGAAGAAUAUCAUUCUGUUGUUGGGGAGUGAAGGAUGGUGUUGUAAUUCAAUUCUAUGUUUGAAGGCGAGGUAGCAGAGUUGAUGUGGGGAAUAUGAUCUCUUAAUUUUGAUUUAUGGGUUGAAGAAUUGAUGUUUUAUGUUGCCGGUUGAGAUUGAAUGUUGCGGAUUGAGCAUGAAUUUCUCCUGCUAUUGGCCUAUUGCAAUGAAUGAUGAAAACUGUGGAGUUUACUGUAAAAACUUUCUAUACUUGUAUGAGUGAGAGACCGUUAGAGGAACAUUAACAAAAGAAACAGAUGGAGUCUAUUGUAUAUGUCAUUCUAAUAUCUCACAUGUUAAUGUGUCAUGUGAGAUGUUUUGAGUUUACAUGACAUUUGCUUGAAGUGAGUAUGCUAUUGUUGUCACUUUUUGUAAUGUUGUAGAUUUUGUGUUCCCCCUGAAAAGUUCCUAUAUAUAAUCUGCUAUUUGAUUUAAUAUAAGGCAGCUUGAUAUUUCUUCAAAA